CCUACGGGUGGCAGCAGUCGAGAAUCAUUCACAAUGGGGGAAACCCUGAUGGUGCGACGCCGCGUGGGGGAAUGAAGGUCUUCGGAUUGUAAACCCCUGUCAUGUGGGAGCAAAUUAAAAAGAUAGUACCACAAGAGGAAGAGACGGCUAACUCUGUGCCAGCAGCCGCGGUAAUACAGAGGUCUCAAGCGUUGUUCGGAAUCACUGGGCGUAAGGCGUGCGUAGGCUGUUUCGUAAGUCGUGUGUGAAAGGCGCGGGCUCAACCCGCGGACGGCACAUGAUACUGCGAGACUAGAGUAAUGGAGGGCGAACCGGAAUUCUCGGUGUAGCAGUGAAAUGCGUAGAUAUCGAGAGGAACACUCGUGGCGAAGGCGGGUUCCUGGACAUUAACUGACGCUGAGGCACGAAGGCCAGGGGAGCGAAAGGGAUUAGAUACCCCAGUAGUC
This 446-nucleotide ribosomal RNA is filed under the name uncultured bacterium. Its description in RNAcentral is "partial 16S ribosomal RNA". It matches the Rfam family "Bacterial small subunit ribosomal RNA", at positions 338 to 795 of the family's 1533-position model. The record is from RNAcentral.